UGUAUUAAUGGAUUUCAAUAUAAUAUAAUUUCCGCCGCUUUCGUUUGAACCAAUUUCUCUCAAAUUAGAUUAAAAUAAAUAAUAAAAACCUGCUGCUGCGCACUAAACCUCCUCUUAGGCUUUACGACCCGGCUUCUCCUCUACUUUACGACUUGACAUCUCAUGUGAUUUCAUUUUACAGCCCCUGCACGCACACACACACACACGCACACACACGCGCACACACACACACACGCACACACAUUCCACUGGAACACAAGAGCAGCCUAUAUACUUCAUAGAGCAUCCGCUGUCUCGGAGUGGUGUAUACGGGCUUCAAGCCCGGAGGGGGCACCCCCCCCCCCCCCCGGAGCCCCCCAAGGGCUGCUGCACUGUAAUUGGACACAGCUUUGGGGAGUCAGCCGGACCCGCUGUAACUCUCUCUCCGGCUCCGAGACGAGCAGCUUCUCAUCUUGGAGCGGCGGUGAAAUAUGGACAGCGAGGUUUUUGUUUUUUAAUGGCGCCUGUUGUCGAUUUCCGGUUAAUACAUUUUAAAAAGAUGUUUUUUUCUGGAAGAAAAAAAGAAAGAAAGCCGCCGUCAGAGCGGGGGGCGUGGCCCGCCCGUGAACCUCAGACUGCCAUUGGCCGCCGUAACAGGAAACGUUUCCAACCCAAAAGGCUGUCUCAAUCCAAAAUACCCCCCUCCAGCAACGUCAGAGCGCUGCACACACACACACACACACACACACACACACACACACACACACACACACACACACACACACACACACACACACACACACACACACACACACACACACACACACACACGCGCGCGCACGUCAAGGUGCGUCUCCAUGAGAUCUGUCAGCCCCCGCACGCGGUAAUAUAACCACCUGCUCAUAAAGCAACGGAUACACGAUAGUUGUGCGCAGGAGGAGGAGGAGCAGCACGAGCACGAGCGCCAUCGACCGACAACAGCCCGGUGUCAGCCGCCGCCGCCAGGUGACAAACAUGUCCCGGUUCUGGAUGUGCGUAACGCACGCGUUUACUUCCGCAUCGUUCGGAUGAAAAUGCGCGCGCCCCCCUCCUUCUCUCCCUCUCCACAUCCUCCUCCUCCUCCUCCUCUGCCCACGUCACUCAGCCACCAGGACCGGCAGCUCGGGUCUAGACUGCCACCCGCUAACCAGACACGUGCCCGGCUUCAGCACCUCGGGGUGCCAGCUCUCCGUCACGCGCUGGCCCCGUUUCAAGAUCCACGAGUGCGGCUUCUGUUCUCCGACACGACCCGGGUCGGCGGUGAGCUGAUCUCCGUCUCACCAGCACCGCAGCGCGCGCGCACCUCCUCCGUGCACAGUGGCCACCUCGCGCCAUGUCUGCAGAGCUCGAGCUUCCUCCUGGAAGAGAUAACGGGAUAGGGCUUAUCGGUAUCGGCCAUUCGGUGCCGGUCCAAAAACAAAAAGCAGGACCGGCUGCAGCGACACGGAGGACGAGGAGGAGAGCCCGGGUCCGGGACCAGAACCAGAACCAGCACCAGCAGUGAUGGAACCGAACAUGUGGUCCACGAUGCCGACAUGGGAUGGGAAUGACGUCACCGUAAGAGCCCCGUCAGAGGCGCAGUGCCCGGCCUUCAGAGGCGCAGUGCCCGGCCCUCAGAGGCGCAGUGCCCGGCCGGCGGAGCCGCAGCAGAAGCGCCGGGUCCUCAUAUGGGAGCCGCAGACCCCAGAGCCGGAGCUUUUCUCCCGCACAGCAGACCCGACAGCGCCGCCUGGAGCUCAGCGGGAGCGUCGCCCCGAGGGUCCGGCAGGUGAAGAAGACCUGGUUCCACAACCGGAGGGACUACGAAGGGAAAAGCGGCCGUGCGCAACCGCGAGCUGUGCGGCGUCGCCCUCGACCUCUCCCCGGCGGAAGUGGACCAGCUGCAGCACAGAGAGCACGAGGAGCUGGCAGCGAUUAAAACAAUAAAGACUAUUGUCUCAAACAAUAGAACGUCCGUCAACACUAAACGUAUUAUUUCCGGCCUCCUAUGAACGGGAGCGUGGACAGUUUGACAUCCUGGAUCCAAAUAUCAUCCCGAGGAACAUCCGGGUUCUCUCGCUUUGUUUGUGCGCGUCAGUUGGUGGAUUUCUUUUCUUUUUAUUAUAAGAACAAAAAGACAAAACAAAAGACUAAAGUGAGGAGUCUCGGUGCAGGAAGAUGAGACGGCCUCAGAGGAAAGUGGGAUUUUUUUUGUUUUGGCGGCUUUUCUUUUCUUUUCUAUAGUUUGAUUUGAUUCUCAUUUCCCUUCCAGGCAUCUCGGACUCCUCGUCUCACGGUGAGUGUGAGUUUAUUAUUAUUAUUAUUAUUAUUAUUAUUAUUAUGGACAUUUUUCUCCGUGCAUAGUGACUCGAGGUUGUUGAUUAAAAGGCCUCGAACUGUUUAUUUAUUUUUUACAUUUUAUUUAUUAUUCUAUGCAUUAAGUGUGAAGGAUGUGAAGGAUUUUUUAGAAAAUCAACACUUCGUGUGUCUUAUAUGGAUUUUUUAAAUUUCAUUUUUCAAACUAAAAAUAUAUACAUUUUCCAGUAUAAAGGUGUGUUUCGUUAUUAUUUUUGUUGUAGUCAAAAUGAAAUACAAUUUGUAUAUGUUAAUGUUUAAUCCAACUCAGAAAUGUCUUAUCUUUCAAGAGAGUAUUUAAAACGUUGAUAUUUGUGAUAAAUGUUCUUUUUAUGAAGCUGAUAUCCUGUGUUUUCCCCAACAAACAUUCCUUUAAUAAAGUCAUUUAAUUAUUCCUGCUGGAGAAAAAAAGAAAAAGGUUAUCUAAUUAAUAAUUUGUGGUGCAACUAUUUUCCAUGUAUUUAUUUAUUUAAAAUAAAAAAUACAGGCUGA
Long non-coding RNA from Pseudoliparis swirei, 2844 nucleotides. RefSeq lists it as uncharacterized. The record is from RefSeq and is a predicted model, not a curated record. The transcript has 3 exons. NCBI's taxonomy places the organism in Eukaryota, Metazoa, Chordata, Actinopteri, Perciformes, Liparidae.